GGCCAAUCACUUACCAUUUCUCAUAACAGCAUCAGAGGGAAGGAGCUGAGAGAAAAGGUUGAGGAUAUUUCUGAACAAGAUGAAAGCUUUCAUUCUGAUCACAGCCAUCUUGGCAGUCACUGUUGCUUUCCCGGUCACUCCAGACCAGGAACGAGACAAACGAAGUAUCAGUGACAGCGAUGAAUCAUCUUUACAGAUUUUUGUGCCCCCACGAAAUCCAUUUGGCCAGUACCCUCCAUUCCUAUAUCCUCCAGGUUUUUGGUAUAGAUAUUUUGGUUUUCCUUUUCCAAUACCUGCAUCUGCCUCUGCAGA
Lemur catta (Ring-tailed lemur) is the source of this 312-nucleotide long non-coding RNA. RefSeq lists it as uncharacterized. The record is from RefSeq and is a predicted model, not a curated record. NCBI's taxonomy places the organism in Eukaryota, Metazoa, Chordata, Mammalia, Primates, Lemuridae. The transcript is spliced from 4 exons.